AGAAUUUUAAUAUUUAUUUUUUAGUUUUCAGCGGACUUUGUUUGUAUGUGGUGCUGAGGAUCGAACCCGGACUGCACGCAUGCCAGGCGAGUGCGCUACUGCUUGAGCCACAUCCCCAGCCCCAGGGUCCGUCCUAUUACCAGGCAAUUUCCUUUCUCAUUUCUGGUCAUAGGUAAGGACAGAAACACAACCAACAGAUCACAUUUAGUAUCAACUCUGUUUCUGCCACCUCUCUGAAUCUGAAAAUCUAUCAGUUCCGAGUCAGUAAACUCAGAACUGAUAGAUUACCCUCCACACCAAAGGGGACUAACAGUUGUAGCUCUCCAAACUAGAAGCAAAGUAUACCUUUUAAACAUAUGUAGGAGUCUCUAGGGGAUGAUACAGACAGAGGAUGUCUUUAAGUAAUCAAUGUUUAAAGAAAGAGUACUCUUGAAUCAACUUGUCUACCUUUCAAGGGGGCUAAGAAAGUUGGUGUUGGCAGGGGGGAGGUAGAGAGAAAAGUUGGGGCUUUUAAAUUCUAAUCAACCAUUCCAAUUCAUCAUAGGGGGCUGGGGCUCUAGCUCAGUGGCAGAGCGCUUGCCUUGCAUUUGAGAGGUGCUGAGAAUCAAACCCAGCCGGAUUCCACCCUCAGCACCACAUAAAAAUAAACAAAAUAAAGGCAUGCUGUCCAUCUACAUCUACAAAAAACAAACAAACAAACAAAAAAACUCAUCAUACUGACUCUGAGGGGAAUGUAAGGGAGCUAUGAAAUUCAAAGAGGAGUUAGCAUGGGCAGAACACACAAAAACCUCUUUCCAAAACACAAGUAUUACCUGAGUUAUACUUUGCUUGUUCAAAUUAAUCUUUCUCUUUUCCAAGUUUGAUCCUAGUGACUUCAUAGACAUCAUACUCUUAUGUGUGGGAAAACACUACAGUGAGCAGCUUUCGUGUCAAAUUAGUGUUAAAAAAUCUCAGCAAUUCUAUUUAUUAAAGACACCAAGAUAGAAAAUCAUACAGGAGACAACGCAGAGGAAUAAAAGCUCUUAAGUCCAGUUUUCUGGGUUUGUUUUCCGAUUCUACUUAAUGGCUAUGAAACUUUGAGCAAAUUGCUAAAUAUAUGUGUACAUUUGUUUCCUCAUCUGUAUAAUGGGAUAACAGCUUUAUAAGCAACUACUGCAUAAGGUUGUAAAGAUUAAAUGAGAUAAUAUUUGUAUCAUUAUUAAAUUUCUUUGGAACUCAUUUAAAUAAGUAUUUGAUAUAGACUACAUGCUCAAUAAAUAUUGAGCUACUAAUCAGUAUCAAUAAGACAUGAAGAAUUUCUUUACAUCUCUGAGCCUUACUUUCCUCCACUAGAAAAAUGAAAGAAAAAAAUACUAUCCUCAUAGAAUAGGCUAUGGGGAUUAAAUGAAAGAUGUAUUUAGCAUAAAGAUGUAGUAGCUAGUUGUUAUUAAAUAAUGGCCCUGCUUUUUUUGCGUCCAGAAAAGAUUUAAGUUAAUAUAUUAAAGAAUAGCUCAAUGUUAGUUAUCAAUAAUAUUCUACACACAACACACACAAAUUUUUUUAAAAAAAAUUUUGUACUAGGGAUUGAACCCAGUACAAAAUUAACCACUUAACCACUGAGUCAUACCCCUAGCCCUUUUUUAUGUUUUAUUUAGAGAUAGGGUCUUGCUGAAUUGCUUAGGGCCUCGCUAAAUAGCUGAGGUUGGCUCUGAAAAAGGUAUAAAGAAAAAGAAAAAAACAAAAAGGUUAAAGAAGAUUAUGACAGAGGUAAGAAUUCAAAGUCCCAAAGUAGACUAAUUUAGAGGAAUAUCAGAAAUUACUAUGAUCCUAUUGAAUAUUCUGUAGUGUCCUAGGUCAAGGAGUUCUGAGAAUCCAGAUAUACAUGUACAUUUUGUCAUUAAGUUUUCAUUGGUUUAUGAUGAAAUGAUCAAAAUAAAGAGGAUACAGCAAAAUUUUCAUUAAGCUAAAUUUAUUAAGUUUGUAUAUUCUUAUGAGAAACCAAGAAUCUCAUAACAGUUUUCUCUGGAAAAAAUAAAACAAAACACAGAUUAGAUCCUAUUUCUGUGUAAAAAAAGGUAUAGAAGGGGCUGGGGUAGAGUGCUUGCCUAGCAUGCAUGAGGCAUUGGGUUCGAUCCCCCAGCACCACAUAAAAAUAAAUAAAUAAAUUAAUUAAUUAAAGGUAUUUUGUCCAUCUACAACUAAAAAAAUUUAAAAAGAAAAAGGUAUGGAAGGACACACACUUGCCUAUUAACAGUAGUUACUUCUGAAAAGAGUAGGAUUAAGCAAGGCAUGAUGGCACACACCUGUAAUCCCAGUAGUUUGGGAGGCCUGAAACAGGAGGAUUACAAAUUCAAGGCCAGCCUCAGCAAUUUAGUGAGAUCCUGUCUCAAAAUGAAAAAUUGAAAAAAAAAAAAAGAGCUGGGGAUGUAGUUUAAUGGUAAAUUGCCCUUCGUUAACUCCCCAGUCUCCCACCCCACCCCCAGCAAAAUAGUUAAGUUUAAGGUGAGAAAUAUAUUAUGGAUUCUAAAUUUUUUUCCACUCUAAACAAUCCCUUUUUAAAAAAAUAGGGACACACAACACACACACACACAUAAUUAAAAAAAAAUUUUUUGUACUAGGGAUUGAACCCAGGAGCACUUAACCACUGAGUCACACCCCUAGCCUUUUUUUAUGUUUUAUUUAGAAACAGGGUUCUUGCUGAGUUGCUUGGGGCCUCGCUAAAUAGCUGAGGUUGGCUCUGAACUCCUGAUCUCCCUUUCUCAGUCUCCUGAGCUGCUGGAAUAACAAGAGUGCACCAUAGUGCCCAACUAGGGAACAUAUUUUUAAAAAUAGUUGUCUAAAGAAAAAAAUUUUUUUGGUACCAGGGAUUGAACCCAAAGAUUCUUUACUAGUGAGCUAUGUCCCCAGUCCUUUUUCUUUUAGAAAAAAAAAAAAUGUGUCUCUGUUUGUGUGUGUAUACACACACACACACACACACACACACAUAUAUAUAUAUAUAUAUAAUGGACACUUUUUUAUUUUUAGGUGGUGCUGAGGAUUGAAUUCAGUGCCUCACACAUGCCAGGCAAGAGCUCUCUACCACUGAGCCACAACUCUAUCCCCUUUCUUUUUUUGAGACAGGUUUCACUGAGUUGCUAAAUUUGUUAAAUUGCUAAGGCUAACCUUGAAUUUUCGAUCCUCCUGCCUCAGUCUCUAGAGCUGCUGAGAUUACAGACAUACACCACUGUACUGAACUACCAUGUUAUUAUGUUAUUAAAAACAAAACAAAAAUACAGGUCAAGAAAUAUCAAGCCCAGCAUGGUGGUGAACACCUAUAAUCCCACUAAACACAGUUCUUUAGCUGUUCUUCAUCUUCAAACCUUUAGGGCAGUGUUUCUCAAACUGUGGGCUGUAAGACAAAAGUGACCUUGACAUCAGUUGAUGGGUUACCAUCAGUUUUUUUUUUUUUUUUUUUAAUUUUUGCAGUACUGGGGACUGAACCCAGAGCAUUCUAUCUCUAGCUCUUUUUCUAAGACUGGUUUUCACUAAAUUGCCAGGCUUUCACUAAAUUGCCAGGCUGGCCUCAAAAUUGUGAUCCUCCUGCCUCAGCCUCCCAUGUAGUUGGGAUUACAGGCAUACACCACUGUACCAUGUUAUUUAAAAUAAGAAUAAAAAUAAAAAAGGACAUAGGUCAAGAAAUAUCAAGGUCAGCAUAGUGGCACACAUCUGUAAUUCCAGCAACAUGGGGAGGCUAAAGCAGGAGGAUCUCAAGUUCAAGGUUAGCCUCAGCAAUUUAGCAAGGCCCUACACAACUCAGUGAGACCCUGUCUCUAAAUAAAAUACAAAAAAGGGCUGGGAAUGUGGCUUAGUGGUUAAGUGCCCCUGGGUUCAAUCCCCAGUGGGGGGUGGGGAUGCUAACAAUAAGCAUAAGAAUCAUUUUGUGAAAAUGUUUCACUUAUAUGUAUGUGUAGUUUACACAGAGUCAGGAUGUAAACUCCUUUUUUCACUUUUAAUACCAAGGAUUGAAUCCAGAGGUGCUUAACCACUGAGAUAUAUCCUCAUCCCUUUUUAUUUUUUAUUUUGAGACAGGGUCUCACUAGGUUACUUACAGCCUGGCUAAAUUACUGAGGCUAGCUUUUAACCUGCAAUCCUCCUGUCUCAGCCUUCCAAGCCACUGGGAUUACAGGCAAGCAACAUAAUGAUGACAAGUUUUGUGUUUUUAACUGUGAAUCAUGAUCAACAAGUUUUAAAAACUUUGGGAAGGACUGACAAUGAAAGAUGGGUUAAUAGGAAUGGAAAGAAGUCGACUCUGAACGGCUUAUGGUUAUGGUUACUAUAAAGCACUUCUAGAUAACAUUUGGAUAAAGGUUGAAUAUAUAGCUCUCCAGGGAUCAGAAGAUUCCCGAACCCUGCUACUUAAGUUAUAGAGCAAUCACGAAAAUGAGAAGAGCCAACCUAGACAGAAGCAAACCCAUGUAUUGGUAAGGGCUUUGGAAUCAGGCAAACUUGAGUUCUUCUCUCUGCUUUGCCACUUAACUUACUGUGAGUUUAGGCUACUCCCUUUGCCUUUUGGAAUCUCAGCUUCCUUAUUUAUAUAAGGAUAUUUGGGAAAGAAGGGGAUUUGUGAAAAUAUGAAAUAGCAGAAUUUGAAUUCCCUUCCAAAGUUCUGGGUACAUUUAAGAAAUUCACUUUUCUUCUUCCUGUACUGGGGAUUGAACCCAGGGGCAUUUUGCCACUGAGUUAUAUUCUUGGUCCUUUUUAUUUUUUGAGACAAGUUCUUGCAAAGUUGCUGAGGCUGGCCUCAAACUUAUGAUCUUCCUGCCUCAGCCUCCUUAGUUGCUGCAAUUAUGGGUAAGCAAGCAGAAACUUGCUUUCCUUUUUUUUUUUUUGCUUUUUUUUUUUUGUGUGUGUGUGUGUGUGUGGUGCUGGGGAUUAAACUUGGUUUCUUUAAAGCAUCUAUGUAGAUGAAUUAUAUCUAAAAAAACAAAACAAAAAACAUACAUUUAUGUGAUACUUCAUAUACACUGUCUCAGAAAAGAAGAUGGGCCCUCGUAAGUUGAAACUUUAAAAACAGAAAACAACUGACACAAUAGAAAAAAAAAGAUAAAGAUGAUAAGUUAACAAGUUUUUUUUUUUUUUUUCAGGUUGACAUACUCUCAAGAAACAUAGGAAAAGUUACUAGUUUUUCAGCUUAUUCCCUCACAUUUUUAUCUAUUUCAAAGCAUGUUAUCUAAGGGGCAAAACAUUAAGCCUCAAUGUUACUAUUCUACAAUAAUAACAUGGAAGUUAAAACGGAUUAAAUUCUCAUGGCCAGACCCAUUACUCUAAGCCUGGGAAAACAGUAGGGGGUUGGAGCAGUGUGAAGAUAGGAAAGUUACAGGUACACUUGGGUUGCAAAGUCUUUGUCACCAACCCCCAAACACUCAGAAGUCAAGCCAGAGCCCAGAAUCAGUCAGCAAAUUUUCUUGCUACUAAACAACCUUGGAUCAUCAGAGGUUAGUAAUAACUGGGUUAGAAAAGACUACCUCCCACCCCAAUAUGUAACCUCAAAAAUCUGUCCUGCCUUACUUGUUCAUACUAAUUGAUGGGAUACCCAUCUGUAAACCUUGAGCUUGAAUCUCAUCAUGUUUAUAAGGAUAUCAUUUUUUAAUGUAAAUAGCUAGACUCUUGAAACAUCAGGAAUAUAGAAAUGAAAUAAUACAUAAAAGAUUCAAUUGA
This 5676-nucleotide long non-coding RNA is filed under the name Marmota monax (woodchuck). Lineage: Eukaryota; Metazoa; Chordata; Mammalia; Rodentia; Sciuridae. The record is from RNAcentral.